UAGAGCAUAUUUUUCCUAAGAAGAGAAGACUGAUGGUGAAGUGGGAGUUGUAAUUACAAAGUGACCAAGGGGAGAGAGAAUCCAUGCUUUUGCCAGCUGCCAUGUCAUGAGGACACUCAGGCAUUGCCAUGGAGAAGCCCAAGUGACAAGGAACUGAGGCUUCCUGCCAACUGCCAGUGAUGACCUGAGGCUGCAGUCAAGAGCUAUGUGUGGGACCACCUCUUGGAUGUGGAUCCUCCAGCCCAAGCCAGGCCUUCAGAUGACUGCAGACCUGGUUGACAGCUUGACUGUAACCUCACGAGAAGCCCUGAGCCAGAACCACCCAGCUGUGGAGCUCCUGGAUUCCUGACCCUCAGCAACUGUUCGAGAUAAUAAAUGUUUGCUGUUCUAAGCUGCUAAA
RNAcentral lists this long non-coding RNA (400 nucleotides) under Equus caballus (horse). RNAcentral's name for it is "lncRNA (ENSECAG00000042202.2)". The record is from RNAcentral. Lineage: Eukaryota; Metazoa; Chordata; Mammalia; Perissodactyla; Equidae.